GAAAUGCGAUGGUCGGAAGCGGGGUGAAUAGUGGGGGUGCGAGCGUUAAUCGGAGUAGUUGGGAGUAAAGGGCGCGUAGGCGGUGGUGUGAGUGUGAUGUGAAAGCCCCGGGCUUAACCUGGGAAGGGCAUCGCAAACGACAUGACUGGAGUAGAUGAGAGGGUGGCGGAAUGUCCGGUGUAGCGGUGAAAUGCGUAGAGAUCGGAAGGAACGUCGAUGGCGAAGGCAGCCACCUGGCAUCAUACUGACGCUGAGGCGCGAAAGCGUGGGGAGCGAACAGGAUUAGAUACCCUUGUAGUC
This 300-nucleotide ribosomal RNA is filed under the name uncultured Streptomyces sp. RNAcentral describes it as "bacterial SSU rRNA". The stretch from base 52 to 300 matches the Rfam family "Bacterial small subunit ribosomal RNA", at positions 547 to 795 of the family's 1533-position model. The record is from RNAcentral. Lineage: Bacteria; Bacillati; Actinomycetota; Actinomycetes; Kitasatosporales; Streptomycetaceae.